Felis catus (domestic cat) is the source of this 573-nucleotide long non-coding RNA. RefSeq lists it as uncharacterized. The transcript has 2 exons. Lineage: Eukaryota; Metazoa; Chordata; Mammalia; Carnivora; Felidae. The record is from RefSeq and is a predicted model, not a curated record.
CCAGCUGAUUUCCUCCCCAUCCUCACCAGCAGCAGGACAACCACCACGGCUGAGGGGACGAAGACAAGGACGGAGAGGAGGGCCACAGAGGAGAGCAUGAUGCCAAACCCUAGACGGGGGGGGAAAGGGAAGACAGGCAGAGAGAGAGAGGGAGACGCAGAAUCGGAAGCAGGCUCUGGGCUCGGAGCUGUCAGCACAGGACCCCACACGGGGCCCGAACCCACGAACCGCGAGAUCGGGACCUGAGCCGAAGUCGGGCGCUCAACCAACUGAGCCACCCAGGUGCUCCUGCUCUUGUAUUUCUUCUGAUCACAACAGGAAUAAAUUCAUGGUAGAAGGGGUAGAAAGUACACAAAGGGACAAAAAGAAUAAAAACGUAGCCACGGUCCCACUCCCUAGGAUUAACGCAUUGGUAUCUACCCGUCCAGUGCUUUCUUGGAGUACGUGGGUAUGGGUCUGCGGGCAGGGAGGAGAGUGCACAUUUUUAGAAGUAUGGAUCAUAUUUUACAGACUGUUUCUAGACCCCUCUUUUAGGUACCAUAUAAUAAAUGUUUCUCGGGUCAUUAAACAUUC